Molecule: transfer RNA, 77 nt
Filed under: Oligoflexia bacterium
Lineage: Bacteria; Pseudomonadati; Bdellovibrionota; Oligoflexia
Description: tRNA-Gly
Rfam family: tRNA
About the family: Transfer RNA (tRNA) molecules are approximately 80 nucleotides in length. Their secondary structure includes four short double-helical elements and three loops (D, anti-codon, and T loops).
Source: RNAcentral
GCGGGUUUAGCUCAGCUGGCUAGAGCGUCUGCUUGCCAUGCAGAAGGUCGAGAGUUCGAAUCUCUUAACCCGCUCCA